AUACGUACCUGACAGGACAGAUACAUGAUCACAAAGGUGGUACUCCCAGGGCGAGGCCUAUUCAUUGCACUCUGAAUGUGCUGAUCCCUGCAAUUUCUCCAAACGUGGGAAACUUGACUGCAUAACUUGUGGUAGUUGGGGACUGUGUUCACACUUUCCCCUG
Small nuclear RNA from Carlito syrichta (Philippine tarsier), 163 nucleotides. Its record names the gene U1. It matches the Rfam family "U1 spliceosomal RNA". Rfam says of the family: U1 is a small nuclear RNA (snRNA) component of the spliceosome (involved in pre-mRNA splicing). Lineage: Eukaryota; Metazoa; Chordata; Mammalia; Primates; Tarsiidae. The record is from Ensembl.